RNAcentral lists this transfer RNA (73 nucleotides) under Microgenomates group bacterium RIFCSPHIGHO2_01_FULL_45_11. RNAcentral describes it as "tRNA-Glu". It matches the Rfam family "tRNA". Rfam says of the family: Transfer RNA (tRNA) molecules are approximately 80 nucleotides in length. Their secondary structure includes four short double-helical elements and three loops (D, anti-codon, and T loops). Further hydrogen bonds mediate the characteristic L-shaped molecular structure. tRNAs have two regions of fundamental functional importance: the anti-codon, which is responsible for specific mRNA codon recognition, and the 3' end, to which the tRNAs corresponding amino acid is attached (by aminoacyl-tRNA synthetases). tRNAs cope with the degeneracy of the genetic code in two manners: having more than one tRNA (with a specific anti-codon) for a particular amino acid; and 'wobble' base-pairing, i.e. permitting non-standard base-pairing at the 3rd anti-codon position. RNAcentral also lists the same sequence under 1 other name. The record is from RNAcentral.
GCCGCCAUCAUCUAGAGGCCAAGGAUACAUGGUUCUCAACCAUGACACACCGGUUCGAAUCCGGUUGGCGGCA